GCAUCGGUGGUUCAGUGGUAGAAUGCCCGCUACCCACGCGGGCGGCCUGGGUUCGAUUCCCGGCCGAUGCA
This 71-nucleotide transfer RNA is filed under the name Heliconius melpomene (postman butterfly). RNAcentral's name for it is "tRNA HMEL014085". It matches the Rfam family "tRNA". Rfam says of the family: Transfer RNA (tRNA) molecules are approximately 80 nucleotides in length. Their secondary structure includes four short double-helical elements and three loops (D, anti-codon, and T loops). The record is from RNAcentral. Lineage: Eukaryota; Metazoa; Arthropoda; Insecta; Lepidoptera; Nymphalidae.